Molecule: long non-coding RNA, 1893 nt
Organism: Oncorhynchus tshawytscha (Chinook salmon)
Lineage: Eukaryota; Metazoa; Chordata; Actinopteri; Salmoniformes; Salmonidae
Source: Ensembl
UAUGGAUUGAAUAAGGCUCAUAAUAACACUCGUGGGGAGACUGAUUACAGUUGCGUGUUCAUCAGAUCAUAGAAAAGAGUUACCACCCAUUAGAUGCUCUUAGUGGACCAAUGGUGAAAGGGGAAACAAUCAAGGGAUGUGGACUCAAUGCAUAAUGGACCUGAGCCCUAGGACCAUACCUCAGGACUACCUGACAUGACUCCUUGCUGUCCCCAGUCCACCUGGCCGUGCUGCUGCUCCAGUUUCAACUGUUCUGCCUUAUUAUUAUUGGACAAUGCUGGUCAUUUAUGAACAUUUGUACAUCUUGGCAAUGUUCUGUUAUAAUCUCCACCCGGCACAGCCAGAAGAGGACUGGCCACCCCACAUAGCCUGGUUCCUCCCUAGGUUUCUUCCUAGGUUUUGGCCUUUCUAGGGAGUUUUUCCUAGCCACUGUGCUUCUACACCUGCAUUGCUUGCUGUUUGGGGUUUUAGGCUGGGUUUCUGUACAGCACUUUGAGAUAUCAGCUGAUGUACGAAGGGCUAUAUAAAUACAUUUGAUUUGAUUUGAAGAGGCGACUCCGGGAAAGUACAUGCCUCGCUCUGGCCUUCUAGGCAGAGUUGCAAAGAAAAAGCCAUACCUGCCAGUUGAGGACUUGCGAGGCGUCUGUUUCUCAAACUAGACACUUUAAUGUACUUGUCCUCUUGCUCAGUUGUGCAACAGGCCACCCACUCCUUUCUAUUCUGGUUAGGGCCAGUUUGUGCUGUUCUGUGAAGGGAGUAGUACACAGCGCUGUAUGAGAUCUUCAGUUUCUUGGCAAUUUCUCACAUGGAAUAGCCUUCAUUUCUCAGAAUUUGUAUUUUUUAUUUAACUAGGCAAGUCAGUUAAGUUAAGAACAAAUUCUUAUUUACAAUGACUGCUUAGGAACAGUGGGUUAACUGCCUUGUUCCGGGGCAGAACGACAGAUCGUGGAUUCAAUCUAGCAACCUUUCAGUUACUGGCCCAACGCUCUAACCACUAGGCUACCUGCCACCCCUAGAAUAGACUUACGAGUUUCAGAGGAAAGUCUUUGUUUCUGGCCAUUUUGAGCCUGUAAUCGAACCCACAAAUGCUGAUGCUCCAGAUACUCAGCUAGUCUAAAGAAGGCAGGAUUUAUUGCGUCUUUAAUCAGCACAACAGUUUUCAGCUGUGCUAACAAUUGCAAAAGGUUUUUCUAAUGAUCAAUUAGCCUUUUAAAAGGAUAAACUUGGAUUAGCUAACACAAUGUGCCAUUGGAACACAGGAGUGAUGGUUGCUGAUAAUGGGCCUCUGUACGCCUUUGUAGAUAUUCCAUUAAAAAUCAGCCGUUUCCAGCUACAAAUAGUCAUUUACAACAUUAACAAUGUCUACACUGUAUUUCUGAUCAAGUUGAUAUUUUAAUGGACAAAAAUGUGCUUUUCUUUCAGAAACAAGGACAUUUCUAAGUGACCCCAAACUUUUGAACGGUAGCGUAUAUAACAUUCUAUUCCUAAAUUUUGAAUCCAGCAUUGUUUUGUGUAUCAGUUCAUAAACCAUGUGCCAUGGAAUCGCUACAUCAAAAAUCUCUUCCCUACUAUUUUGUCAUCUGUAUGACACAGCUGUCAAUGAAACUGGUAUACUUUUUUAUUUAUCACAAUUUCUUUAGCCAAUUUUGGUCUUUAAUGCAGGUCCGACAGACAAGUUCCUUACUUUCUCCCCCUUCCACUUGCCUCUUCCAUUUUUUGCAGUAAUGCUGCAAUUAGUUGGUUGUAAUUAUGAGUAGAGCAGACAUUUACAAAGAUUUAACCCUUUUAUUUUAUAUCCAAAAAGAUUGGAUUUUUAAUCAUUAGUAUAUUUGAGUUUAACCAUAAUAUUUGUUGUAAUAUUUAUUCUGUCUUUUCUGGUUGAUUAAACUGAAA